CGAAGGGGCUAGCGUUGCUCGGAAUUACUGGGCGUAAAGGGAGCGUAGGCGGACAUUUAAGUCAGGGGUGAAAUCCCGGGGCUCAACCUCGGAAUUGCCUUUGAUACUGGGUGUCUUGAGUAUGAGAGAGGUAUGUGGAACUCCGAGUGUAGAGGUGAAAUUCGUAGAUAUUCGGAAGAACACCAGUGGCGAAGGCGACAUACUGGCUCAUUACUGACGCUGAGGCUCGAAAGCGUGGGGAGCAAACAGGAUU
Molecule: ribosomal RNA, 253 nt
Filed under: uncultured bacterium
Lineage: Bacteria
Description: partial 16S ribosomal RNA
Rfam family: Bacterial small subunit ribosomal RNA
Source: RNAcentral